AUACAGAGGGUGCGAGCGUUAAUCGGAAUUACUGGGCGUAAAGCGCGCGUAGGCGGCUUAUUAAGUCAGAUGUGAAAUCCCCGGGCUCAACCUGGGAACUGCAUCUGAUACUGGUAAGCUAGAGUAUUGGAGAGGGAAGUAGAAUUUCAGGUGUAGCGGUGAAAUGCAUAGAGAUCUGAAGGAAUACCAGUGGCGAAGGCGACUUCCUGGCCAAAAACUGACGCUGAGGUGCGAAAGCGUGGGUAGCAAACGGGAUUAGAUACCCUAGUAGUCC
RNAcentral lists this ribosomal RNA (274 nucleotides) under uncultured bacterium. RNAcentral describes it as "partial 16S ribosomal RNA". It matches the Rfam family "Bacterial small subunit ribosomal RNA", at positions 523 to 796 of the family's 1533-position model. The record is from RNAcentral.